This 1086-nucleotide ribosomal RNA is filed under the name Blastobotrys parvus. Its description in RNAcentral is "LSU rRNA". It matches the Rfam family "Eukaryotic large subunit ribosomal RNA", at positions 132 to 1233 of the family's 3401-position model. Lineage: Eukaryota; Fungi; Ascomycota; Dipodascomycetes; Dipodascales; Trichomonascaceae. The record is from RNAcentral.
ACGCGUCCGAGUUGUAAUUUGAAGAUGGUAACUUUGGAGGCGGCCCUGGCAUAUGUUCCUUGGAAUAGGACGUCAUAGAGGGUGAGAAUCCCGUAUAUGGCUGGGUGCCCGUCUCUUUGUAAAGUGCUAUCUAAGAGUCGAGUUGUUUGGGAAUGCAGCUCUAAGUGGGUGGUAAAUUCCAUCUAAGGCUAAAUAUUGGCGAGAGACCGAUAGCGAACAAGUACAGUGAUGGAAAGAUGAAAAGAACUUUGAAAAGAGAGUGAAAAAGUACGUGAAAUUGCUGAAAGGGAAGGGCUUGAGAUCAGACUUGGCUUGUAGUGAUCAGCUGUCUUUCGGGACUGUGCACUCGCUACUUGCUAGGCCAGCAUCGGUUCUGGCGGUAGGAAAAUAGCGGUUGAAUGUGGCUCUGCUUCGGUGGAGUGUUAUAGCUUCCGUUGAUACUGCCAGCUGGGACCGAGGACCGCGCUUCGUGCUAGGAUGCUGGCGUAAUGAUCUUAAGCCACCCGUCUUGAAACACGGACCAAGGAGUCUAACGUCUAUGCGAGUGUUUGGGUGUAAAACCCGUACGCGUAAUGAAAGUGAACGUAGAGGAGAGCCCGCAAGGGUGCACCCUCGACCGAUCCAGAGGUUUCUUCUGAAGGAUUUGAGUAAGAGCAUAGCUGUUGGGACCCGAAAGAUGGUGAACUAUGCCUGAAUAGGGUGAAGCCAGAGGAAACUCUGGUGGAGGCUCGUAGCGGUUCUGACGUGCAAAUCGAUCGUAAAAUUUGGGUAUAGGGGCGAAAGACUAAUCGAACCAUCUAGUAGCUGGUUCCUGCCGAAGUUUCCCUCAGGAUAGCAGAAGCUCAUAUCAGUUCUAUGAGGUAAAGCGAAUGAUUAGAGGUAUUGGGAUUGAAACGAUCUUGACCUAUUCUCAAACUUUAAAUAUGUAGGAAGUCCUUGUUACUUAAUUGAACGUGGACAAUUGAAUGAAGAGCUUUUAGUGGGCCAUUUUUGGUAAGCAGAACUGGCGAUGCGGGAUGAACCGAACGUGAAGUUAAAGUGCCGGAAUACACGCUCAUCAAACACCACAAAAGGUGUUAGUCAUCU